RNAcentral lists this transfer RNA (75 nucleotides) under Chloroflexota bacterium. RNAcentral describes it as "Chloroflexi bacterium tRNA-Gly". It matches the Rfam family "tRNA". Rfam says of the family: Transfer RNA (tRNA) molecules are approximately 80 nucleotides in length. Their secondary structure includes four short double-helical elements and three loops (D, anti-codon, and T loops). The record is from RNAcentral. Lineage: Bacteria; Bacillati; Chloroflexota. RNAcentral also lists the same sequence under 1 other name.
GUCGCGGUCGUUCAGCAGCCAGGAUGCCUGCGUGCCAUGUAGGCGACAGGGGUGCGAGUCCCCUCCGCGGCCCCA